Molecule: transfer RNA, 75 nt
Filed under: Candidatus Levybacteria bacterium RIFCSPHIGHO2_01_FULL_40_58
Lineage: Bacteria; Candidatus Levyibacteriota
Also listed under: 5 other names
Description: tRNA-Cys
Rfam family: tRNA
About the family: Transfer RNA (tRNA) molecules are approximately 80 nucleotides in length. Their secondary structure includes four short double-helical elements and three loops (D, anti-codon, and T loops).
Source: RNAcentral
GAUCCGGUGGCGAAGUGGUAACGCGGGGGUCUGCAAAACCUCUAUGCGAGGGUUCGAUUCCCUUCCGGAUCUCAA